CAGUAGCCGCGUUAAUACGAACCGUGCGAACGUUAUUCGGAAUUACUGGGCUUAAAGCGCGUGUAGGCGUCUCGGCACGUCGGACGUUGAAAGCCCCCGGCUCAACCGGGGAAGUGGCGCCGAUACGGCCGAGCUGGAGGGAGGUAGGGGGGUCUGGAACUUCCGGUGGAGCGGUGAAAUGCGUUGAGAUCGGAAGGAACGCCCGUGGCGAAAGCGAGGCCCUGGACCUUUUCUGACGCUGAGACGCGAAAGCCAGGGGAGCGAACGGGAUUAGAUACCCCCGUAGUCCCUGUCUCUUAUA
Molecule: ribosomal RNA, 301 nt
Filed under: uncultured bacterium
Lineage: Bacteria
Description: partial 16S ribosomal RNA
Rfam family: Bacterial small subunit ribosomal RNA
Source: RNAcentral